This 72-nucleotide transfer RNA is filed under the name Candidatus Roizmanbacteria bacterium RIFCSPHIGHO2_01_FULL_39_24. RNAcentral's name for it is "tRNA-Arg". It matches the Rfam family "tRNA". From Rfam's summary of the family: Transfer RNA (tRNA) molecules are approximately 80 nucleotides in length. Their secondary structure includes four short double-helical elements and three loops (D, anti-codon, and T loops). Lineage: Bacteria; Candidatus Roizmaniibacteriota. RNAcentral also lists the same sequence under 2 other names. The record is from RNAcentral.
GUCCCGGUAGUUCAAUGGAUAGAACGGGCCCGUCCUAAGGGUUAGAUGGGGGUUCGAUUCCCUCUCGGGACA